AGAUCAGCAAGCAGCGUAAUUAGUACGGAGCGAGCGAUACCUAGCCUUGACUGGACUGUAAAGGAAAGUGUAGGUAGUCGGUGUCGUGCUAUCGUGAUAAGAACAGGGCAUCGACUCGAGCAGUGAGACGAGGCGAUGCGAUACAAUCUAGAGAGAGGAUGAGGAGAGGUGGGAUUGCCCUGCGUAGAGUAGAGAUGCGCAGAUACAUGCCGGGACGCCGAUGGCGAAGGCAGGCACCCACCCAUCUCAGACGUUGAGGCGAGAAAGCAAGCGAGCAAGCAAGAUUAGAUAGAUAGGUAGUGCAGUGCACUAAACGAUGCGAUGCUAGCUAGGUCGGUUUGGUUGAGGGACGACCGAAACGCGUUAAGCGCAGCAUCCCACGAGUACGGCCGCAAGGCUGAAACUCAAAGGAAGGACGGGGGGGGGCACAAGCAAGGAGCGAGUGGUUUAAUUUAAAGCAACGCGAAGAAGGAACCAGGCCUUGACAUGAACAGGGGACGGACAGCAAAGGAAAGGGGGUCUCCGAAAAAGCCCUAGCGCAGGGGGUGCAAGGCCGUCGUCAGCUCGUGUCCUGAGAUUGUGGGGUAAAUUCCGCAACGAAGGCAACCCCUGAUCGCCAGUUCCCACGGGUUAAACCCGGCGCUUUAGGGGGGACGCCUUGGACAACCAGGAGAAAGGGGGGGAGGCGUUCAAUUCUCCAGGGCCUUCCGGCCCAGGGGUCCCCCCUGGUUCCAAUGGCAGUUCCAAUGGGCAGGCCCCUCGUGAGGGGGAGGGAUUCCAAAAAGGCGGUCUCAGUUCGGAUUGGAGUCUGCAACCCGACUCCAUGAAGCCGGAAUCGCUAGUAAUCGCGCAUCAGCUACGGCGCGGUGAAUACGUUCCCGGGCC
RNAcentral lists this ribosomal RNA (885 nucleotides) under uncultured bacterium. RNAcentral describes it as "bacterial SSU rRNA". It matches the Rfam family "Bacterial small subunit ribosomal RNA", at positions 505 to 1380 of the family's 1533-position model. The record is from RNAcentral.